RNAcentral lists this ribosomal RNA (290 nucleotides) under Enterobacter cloacae. RNAcentral describes it as "partial 16S ribosomal RNA". It matches the Rfam family "Bacterial small subunit ribosomal RNA", at positions 381 to 663 of the family's 1533-position model. The record is from RNAcentral. Lineage: Bacteria; Pseudomonadati; Pseudomonadota; Gammaproteobacteria; Enterobacterales; Enterobacteriaceae.
GCCUGAUGCAGCCAUGCCGCGUGUGUGAAGAAGGCCUUCGGGUUGUAAAGCACUUUCAGCGGGGAGGAAGGCGGUAAGGUUAAUAACCUUGCCGAUUGACGUUACCCGCAGAAGAAGCACCGGCUAACUCCGUGCCAGCAGCCGCGGUAAUACGGAGGGUGCAAGCGUUAAUCGGAAUUACUGGGCGUAAAGCGCACGCAGGCGGUCUGUCAAGUCGGAUGUGAAAUCCCCGGGCUCAACCUGGGAACUGCAUUCGAAACUGGCAGGCUAGAGUCUUGUAGAGGGGGGUA